CACGGGGGGAGCAAGCGUUGUUCGGAAUCACUGGGCGUAAAGGGCGUGUAGGCGGUCAGGUAAGUGGGACGUGAAAUGCCUCGGCUCACCCGAGGAGCGGCGUCCCAUACUGCUUGGCUUGAGUACGGGAGAGGAUGUGGGAAUUCCUGGUGUAGCGGUGAAAUGCGUAGAUAUCAGGAGGAACACCGGUGGCGUAGGCGCACAUCUGGCCCGAUACUGACGCUGAGGCGCGAAAGCUAGGGGAGCAAACGGG
RNAcentral lists this ribosomal RNA (253 nucleotides) under uncultured bacterium. RNAcentral's name for it is "partial 16S ribosomal RNA". It matches the Rfam family "Bacterial small subunit ribosomal RNA", at positions 524 to 776 of the family's 1533-position model. The record is from RNAcentral.